Molecule: unclassified non-coding RNA, 201 nt
Organism: Prolemur simus (greater bamboo lemur)
Lineage: Eukaryota; Metazoa; Chordata; Mammalia; Primates; Lemuridae
Source: Ensembl
UUUUCAGCUUUAGAUUGAGAUCAGUUUUUGUCACAAAAUCUUAAAUUCUAUGAUGAGUCAUAUGCAUCUAAUGCAUGGUGGCCCAGUUUAUGACCACAUGAAAGGACAAUUUGUUGUUUAAUGUCAGCUUUGAGUUUAGCAUAUAUCCCAGACAUCUUACUUAUUUUGGGAGAUGUUUCUCUCAGCCGGUAAUGAAGCAAU